RNAcentral lists this ribosomal RNA (509 nucleotides) under uncultured bacterium. RNAcentral describes it as "bacterial SSU rRNA". It matches the Rfam family "Bacterial small subunit ribosomal RNA", at positions 19 to 518 of the family's 1533-position model. The record is from RNAcentral.
CUGGCUCAGGAUGAACGCUAGCGGCAGGCUUAACACAUGCAAGUCGAGGGGCAGCGGGAUGUAGCAAUACAUUGCCGGCGACCGGCGGAUGGGUGCGUAACGCGUAUGCAACCUACCUUAUACAGGGGAAUAACCUUUCGAAAGGGAGACUAACACCCCAUAGUAUUGAUUUAAGGCAUCUUAGAUUAAUUAAAUAUUUAUAGGUAUAAGAUGGGCAUGCGUAUGAUUAGCUAGUUGGUAAGGUAACGGCUUACCAAGGCGACGAUCAUUAGGGGUUCUGAGAGGAAGGUCCCCCCACACUGGUACUGAGACACGGACCAGACUCCUACGGGAGGCAGCAGUGAGGAAUAUUGGUCAAUGGGCGCAAGCCUGAACCAGCCAUGCCGCGUGCAGGAAAAGACGGCCUUAUGGGUUGUAAACUGCUUUUACAUAAGACUAACCGUAUAUUUGCGAAUAUACCUGAAUGUAUUAUGAGAAUAAGGAUCGGCUAACUCCGUGCCAGCAGCCGC